UUUGAGAAAAAAGUUUGUGUAUUAUUUUUUGAGUGCAAUUGAAAAAAAAGUUUGCUAAUUCAAAAAAUGUUCAUGCAUUUCGAGAAAUGUCCUAAAAUUUUAAGGACGUAAUAUGGUCAACAUCCUUGAAGAUUAUAAUUAUUUUUCUCCCGUUGCAACGCACGGGCCCUUUUGCUAUAAUAAUAAAGCGCGCACAUCUUUUGUCGUCCGUCGUUGCGUUUUUGUGAAAAAGUCCCUGUCAUUUCGGGUAAUUAACCCGCAGUCCCCAAGUC
Molecule: long non-coding RNA, 272 nt
Filed under: Hordeum vulgare
Lineage: Eukaryota; Viridiplantae; Streptophyta; Magnoliopsida; Poales; Poaceae
Description: long non-coding RNA (HVUL_LNC016797)
Source: RNAcentral